AGUGAACGCUGGCGGUAGGCCUAACACAUGCAAGUCGAACGGCAGCACAGUAAGAGCUUGCUCUUACGGGUGGCGAGUGGCGGACGGGUGAGGAAUACAUCGGAAUCUACUUUUUCGUGGGGGAUAACGUAGGGAAACUUACGCUAAUACCGCAUACGACCUACGGGUGAAAGCAGGGGAUCUUCGGACCUUGCGCGAUUGAAUGAGCGGAUGUCGGAUUAGCUAGUUGGCGGGGUAAAGGCCCACCAAGGCGACGAUCCGUAGCUGGUCUGAGAGGAUGAUCAGCCACACUGGAACUGGGCCACGGUCCAGACUCCUACGGGAGGAACCAGUGGGGAAUAUUGGACAAUGGGCGCAAGCCUGCUCCAGCCAUACCGCGUGGGUGAAGCAGGCCUUCGGGUUGUAAAGCCCUUUUGUUGGGACAGAAAAGCAGCAGGUUAAUACCCCGCUGUUCUGACGGUACCCAAAGAAUAAGCACCGGCUAACUUCGUG
Molecule: ribosomal RNA, 492 nt
Filed under: uncultured bacterium
Lineage: Bacteria
Description: partial 16S ribosomal RNA
Rfam family: Bacterial small subunit ribosomal RNA
Source: RNAcentral